CAGUAGCCGCGGUAAUACAGAGGGUGCAAGCGUUAAUCGGAAUUACUGGGCGUAAAGCGCGCGUAGGUGGUUUGUUAAGUUGGAUGUGAAAUCCACGGGCUCAACCUGGGAACUGCAUCCAAAACUGGCAAGCUAGAGUAUGGUAGAGGGUGGUGGAAUUUCCUGUGUAGCGGUGAAAUGCGUAGAUAUAGGAAGGAACACCAGUGGCGAAGGCGACCACCUGGACUGAUACUGACACUGAGGUGCGAAAGCGUGGGGAGCAAACAGGAUUAGAUACCCCUGUAGUCCCUGUCUCUUAUAC
Molecule: ribosomal RNA, 301 nt
Filed under: uncultured bacterium
Lineage: Bacteria
Description: partial 16S ribosomal RNA
Rfam family: Bacterial small subunit ribosomal RNA
Source: RNAcentral